RNAcentral lists this ribosomal RNA (488 nucleotides) under uncultured bacterium. RNAcentral describes it as "partial 16S ribosomal RNA". It matches the Rfam family "Bacterial small subunit ribosomal RNA", at positions 28 to 507 of the family's 1533-position model. The record is from RNAcentral.
GACGAACGCUGGCGGCGUGCUUAACACAUGCAAGUCGAACGGAAAGUCCCUGCUGUUGUGGGGUGCUCGAGUGGCGAACGGGGGAGUAACACGGGAGUAACCUGCCCUUGACUUUGGGAUAACUUCAGGAAACUGGGGCUAAUACCGGAUAGGAUCUCCUGCUGCAUGGUGUGGGUUGGAAAGUUUCGGCGGUUGGGGAUGGACUCGCGGCUUAUCAGCUUGUUGGUGGGGUAGUUGCUUACCAAGGCUUGUACGGGUAGCCGACCGGAGAGGGUGACCGGCCACACGGGGACUGAGACACGGCCCAGACUCCGACGGGAGGCGGCAGUAGGGAAUCUUCGGCAACGGACGAAAGGCGGACCGAGCAACGCCGCGCGAGUGAAGAAGGGUUUCGGAUGGUAAAACUCUGUUGUUAGAGAAGAACAAGGACGUGAGUAACUGAACGUCCCCUGACGGUAGCUAACCAGAAAGCCACGGCUAACUACGUG